RNAcentral lists this ribosomal RNA (467 nucleotides) under uncultured bacterium. Its description in RNAcentral is "partial 16S ribosomal RNA". It matches the Rfam family "Bacterial small subunit ribosomal RNA", at positions 28 to 507 of the family's 1533-position model. The record is from RNAcentral.
GACGAACGCUGGCGGCGUGCUUAACACAUGCCAGUCGAACGGAAAGGCCUCUUUCGGGGGGUACUCGAGUGGCGAACGGGUGAGUAACACGUGAGUAACCUGCCCUUGACUUUGGGAUAACUUCAGGAAACUGGGGCUAAUACCGGAUAGGAGCUCCUGCUGCAUGGUGGGGGUUGGAAAGUUUCGGCGGUUGGGGAUGGACUCGCGGCUUAUCAGCUUGUUGGUGGGGUAGUGGCUUACCAAGGCUUUGACGGGGAGCCGGCCUGGGAGGGUGACCGGCCACAUGGGGGCUGGGGUACGGCCCAGACUCCUACGGGAGGCAGCAGUGGGGAAUAUUGCACAAUGGGUGGAAGCCUGAUGCAGCAACGCCGUGUGCGGGAUGACGGCCUUCGGGUUGGAAACCGCUUUCGCUCAUGACGAAGCUUUGUGUGACGGUAGUGGGUAAAGAAGCACCGGCUAACUACGUG